UGGGGAAUCUUGCGCAAUGGGCGAAAGCCUGACGCAGCGACGCCGCGUGCGGGAUGACGGCCUGGUUGUAACCGCUUUCAGCAGGGACGAGGCCGCAAGGUGACGGUACCUGCAGAAGAAGCCCCGGCUAACUACGUGCCAGCAGCC
This 147-nucleotide ribosomal RNA is filed under the name uncultured bacterium. RNAcentral describes it as "partial 16S ribosomal RNA". It matches the Rfam family "Bacterial small subunit ribosomal RNA", at positions 355 to 516 of the family's 1533-position model. The record is from RNAcentral.